UACAGAGGUCUCAAGCGUUGUUCGGAUUCAUUGGGCGUAAAGGGUGCGUAGGCGGCGCGGUAAGUCGGGUGUGAAAUCUUGGAGCUUAACUCCGAAACUGCAUUCGAUACUGCCGUGCUUGAGGACUGGAGAGGAGACUGGAAUUUACGGUGUAGCGGUGAAAUGCGUAGAUAUCGUAAGGAAGACCAGUGGCGAAGGCAGCCCCCUGGGUCAAGAUUGACGCUCAUGCACGAAAGCGUGGGGAGCAAACAGG
RNAcentral lists this ribosomal RNA (253 nucleotides) under uncultured bacterium. RNAcentral describes it as "partial 16S ribosomal RNA". It matches the Rfam family "Bacterial small subunit ribosomal RNA", at positions 524 to 776 of the family's 1533-position model. The record is from RNAcentral.